Molecule: long non-coding RNA, 261 nt
Filed under: Phaseolus vulgaris (common bean)
Lineage: Eukaryota; Viridiplantae; Streptophyta; Magnoliopsida; Fabales; Fabaceae
Description: long non-coding RNA (PVUL_LNC001011)
Source: RNAcentral
UAGUUUUUAUGCUCACCCCCUCCAUGGGCUUUCUAGACCGGCCUUGGUAAAUUUAGAGGUUUUUUUAGAAACUCUAAGUUUACCUAGGUUGGUGUUUUAGGUGCCAAAAUUAAUUCUAAGAAAAUUACAAAUAAAGUUCCUAUGCUAAUUUUGACAAGAAAUUAAAGUCUACUCUACACUAGAGUUUAUGGCAUUUGAACAUGUAAAAGAACGUCUUCUUGGAUCCUUUUGGCCAUAACUCUAUGGUUGGCCCAAAUCUAC